This is an RNA transcript of Oncorhynchus kisutch (coho salmon), 5967 nucleotides long. It is a transcript of the gene named GTP-binding protein 10-like, with no coding region annotated. NCBI's taxonomy places the organism in Eukaryota, Metazoa, Chordata, Actinopteri, Salmoniformes, Salmonidae. The transcript is spliced from 10 exons. The record is from RefSeq and is a predicted model, not a curated record.
AGCACCAAGCAACCUAUUCAAACGACACAUGUGAACAGCUAAUCUGACGUCUUCAGGCAAAAAUGCCACAAACAGUCAACUGUAACAUCUAAAUAUUCAGUCAAAAUGGUUUGGAUCAGCAGGAUUUGUUACCGGAAGUACGGUAACUUCGUGGACAACCUGCGUCUGUAUGUGCGAGGAGGUAGUGGGGGGAUGGGGCUGCCCCGUCUGGGGGGUCAGGGGGGGAAAGGGGGAGACGUGUGGGUGGUGGCUCAGAACGCGAUGACUCUGAAGAGGGUCAAGGAUAAGUACCCCCAGAAACGCUUAAUCGCUGGAGUAGGAAUCAACAGCAGGGGGCAGAAAGGAGAGGACCAAGAAGUCAUGGCUCCUCCUGGCAUUACUGUCACCAACGAUGAUGGAAAGGUCCUCGGUGAGCUGAACACUGAGAGAGAUCGGGUGCUGGUGGCCAGAGGGGGUCAAGGAGGAUCCUACCACUCAGAGUUCCUGCCCAGUAAGGGCCAGACCAGACAGAUACGACUGGACCUCAAACUCAUUGCUGACCUCGGCCUGGUGGGGUUCCCCAAUGCAGGAAAGUCCUCUCUACUGACUGCCCUGUCUCACGCCAAACCCCAGAUUGCCAGCUAUGCCUGUGAGUAUUGAUCACCACUGACUGCACCGGAGAUUGGCAAGGUCAUGUAUGAAGACCAUAAACAGAUCUCAGUGGCAGACCUCCCAGGGCUGAUAGAGGGGGCCCACAUGAAUAGAGGCAUGGGCCACCAGUUCCUCAAACACGUGGAGAGGACCAGACAGCUGCUCUUUGUGGUGGACGUUUGUGGUUUCCAGCUGGCAAGCAAAACGCCCUUUAGGUCUGCUUUUGAGGCUGUUCAACUUUUAAUUAAAGAGUUGGAGCUGUAUAAGGAGGAUCUCCCGUGUAAGCCUGCUGUGUUGGUGGUCAAUAAGAUGGACCUGCCUGAUGCAGAGGACAAACUCACAGAGCUGCAGGAGCAACUCCUAAACCCACACGAGUUCUCCCACCUGUUACCCGACGAUAUGCUUCCUAAGAACAACAUGGUCUUCAGACACGUGGUUCCUAUCUCAGCUGCCACCGGUUUUGGCAUCGCACACCUCAAGACCUGUAUCCGCCAAUCACUAGACAAGGAUGCCUCUAUGGCAACGGACUCCCUGCACCGUGAUAGGCUACAGGCGCUGAGAGGGGCAGUCCCAGCCAAGAACACACUCACAUGGGGCCCCACCGCCUCAGUUUGAGCUGAACUGUAGAACAUUCAGGGUUAGUAUGUUCUGCAGUUUUGAAAAAGGGUUUGAACUUGAUUCUUGUUCACUCAACCUGGAACGUUUUCAAUAUUGUGGAAGUCAGGGUGGUGUUCCUACCUAUCAUACCCUAGGUAGGAUGACUCCUCGACAUUCAUCCUGGCUCUGCACCCUGCUUCAGACUAUUUAUGGAAAACACUAACGAUGAUGUCACCCACAGUCAUAACCCAGGCAAGGGUGUUGUCGUCCUGCCUUCCCCUUAUGACCACAAUAUGGUUGAGGAAGAGGGCUGACAAAAAGGGGAGGAAGUACGUUUGUGUUUUUCUGCUGGAUGUUGUCUCUGACUGUUUGAUGUAAUAUGUUGCUUUUCCACCAUGUAGUAAUAAACAUGUUAAUUAAUGCUGCCUCCUUUAGCAAUAACCUUACCUUAAGGGAAACUAAACAUACACAGAAAAUAUCGAUGAAAGUUUUAUUUUAUAUUAAAUAUAUUACAAUACUGAAUGAUAUUGUAAGAAAAGAAAAAAAAAUAUGGGCAUUGAUUUUUGCAUUGUCAGUCUAUGUACAUACAGCAUACAGUAAAAGACAAGUGCUGUAAUUAUACAGUGGGGUCUUAAUGAUUGACACCCUCCAUAAAGAUGAGCAAUAAUGACUGAAAUAAUUAAAAUACUACGCUAUAAUGUAUUUUUUUAAACGGGGGAAACGAUUGAUUUAUACUAAUACAGUUUCUCAGUGAAAGAUUGUUUAACAAGUAAUACUUAUUUAUCUCAAAAAGAAAUGUCAAAUUUGACAUCCCUAAAGAUUCUUAGAAAUAAAGUCAGUCAAAAGUUUUGGUCCCAUAUUCCUAGCACGCAAUGACACAUUUUUGCAUCCAACAAGUUUUUAGAGUCAUAAGCUUGGUGUAGUCAUUGUGUGCUGUAGGAAUAUGGGACCGAAUAUGAAACAUUUGACUACUUUAUAAGAACCCUUUGGCGUUUCAAUCAUUCUGACCCCUAACCUUUUUGAGGUAGAUCUUUCUCUGAGCAAAAUAUUAUCAAAUAAUAUAAUUUCCCAAUUUUUUUUGUUACAUACAAUUUAGGUCAGUAUUUGAAUGAUUUAUUUUACAGUCAUUAUUGCUCAUGCAGGGUGGCAAUCAUUUGGGAACCGACUUUAUAUAGAUCUUGUAGCGGUACAUAUGAAGGUUAAGGUCGCAGUAGGAGCAUAUUGCAGCAGGAUGGGACUGCAUGGUGGAUUCAGAGGCCUGAUAUAACCUACAUCUCAGACUGCACGGUGCGUUCAGAGACCUGAUAUAACCUACCUCUCAGUAGACUGCAUGGUGCGUUCAGAGACCUGAUAUAACCUACAUCUCAGACUGCAUGGUGCAUUCAGAGACCUGAUAUAACCUACUUCUCAGUAGACUUCAUGGUGCGUUCAGAGGCCUGAUAUAACCUACAUCUCAGACUGCACGGUGCGUUCAGAGACCUGAUAUAACCUACUUCUCAGUAGACUGCAUGGUGCAUUCAGAGGCCUGAUAUGACCUACAUCUCAGUAGACUUCAUGGUGCGUUCAGAGGCCUGAUAUAACCUACAUCUCAGACUUCAUGGUGUGUUCAGAGGCCUGAUAUAACCUACUUCUCCACAGGCUACAGCUGGGUGCUUGGUUGUAUUGAUACAUUCAAGAAUCUGUCCCUACUUUGUGAGCGUUUGGACGUUUCUCUGUGGGUCCGGUUGGGUUACGUCAGUCAAGCCACUAAUACAGAUAACACCCAUCAGACAAGUUACAUCUUGUUACCUGGACAGGUUCCACCUGCCACCAUCCUAACGUCUAAUAUACCUCAAUCCUAUGACCUGCAGGUAAAUUAUCAUAGAUGUCAGAAUUAAGACAAUAUGAUAUUUAAAAUAUUGCUUGACAAGUAUGAUCCUUUAUUUUCAUAUUACCACGGCCUAGGGAAUCCCUUGGUCAAAUCUCAAGUUACUAAGCACCAGCCAAUCAUAUCGUAAUUAAAAUAAGACAAGAGUGAUGAGAACUUUAGUCAACAUGAGCUCACCUGCACAGAUCUCUAUAGCAUAAUGCACCCCAUGUUGCCAUAGCUGCGUCCCAUCCUCAUACCAUAAAAGUACAGAUCUUCACAUGCCAGAGUGGUCCGAGAUGAGUGUGUGCUUUAAAAAACUAAAAUGUCUGCAUCAUAUCGCCGUUCCACUCAACGCACAGAAGAACAACAAUGCAGUUGGUCUGUCUGAAUAACGGCUGUACACAACACUGAGAAGUGAACAUAUAAAGGUACUUAAGAGUUUAAAAAAAUACUUGAGACUUGUCAAACAGUAGCAAUAUUAAUGUGAUAUUGUGGUGAUCUUAAUAUCUUUGCAGUCAUAAUGCAUACAGUAGAAAAUCAAAACGAUCAGUGCCCACAUUUUAAACUUAAGCAUACGGAGUUAACAUACAGCAGGCUUAACUGAUAUGGACAGUACAGUAACUACGGGAUGGGGGUUGUGACUUCUGUACAAAUAAGUUUCCCUUUAGCCACAGAUCUAAGAUCAGCUUUCCACUCCCCAAUUCACAACAUUUACCAUCAGGGGGGUAAGAUACAAAACUGACCUUGGAUCAGUGACUAGGGACACUUUAUCCUACUCUGAGUAGGUAAGAACCUGAAUCUUAAGCCACAUUUAAACCACUAGAUUACUUGGGCCAUUCAUGAAAAUGUUUGAGACCUGGUUGAUUAUGUUGAAAACCUGUUCACUACUGAUAUGGGGUUUAUGGUAUGAAAUUGCAAGAAGAUAACAGCAAUUGGCAAUCAAGGAAAAAACUAUUUCAAUGACAUGCUUAUUUCGUAUUACAGCCUCAUAGACAGAUUACUAGAGAACAGCGAUAGUGUGCUAGCUAGUAGAUCCAUUGUCAUUCUGUUGGUCUUAUAAAUCUCAAACAGCAAGCACUGUACAGGACACUUCAUUUACAGACAGCAGGGCAAACUUACAGUAGGAAACAAAACAAAAGCAAAAAUGCACAUUUUAAUAAUUUUAUCCAAACAAAUUCCAAAUUCAUCUGACACAAUGUUCAGUUUCCACAUUGUUAUUCCCACAUCGUCCAGUUGGAUCUCAGUGGCGUUGUCAGUUCCAGUUGUAUCUAUCUGUUAUGUCUGGUCUCACACUGUACACCAGGGGCGGACUGGGACCAGAAAUCGGCUCUGGCAUUUUAAACACAACGGCCCAUUUCUUUCCUCGAGGCCCCCAUUAUUAGCAAGAUAAUUAUCAUUUUGCCCCCCCAAAAACAAGUAAGACCCACUGUGGCCCACUGUGUAAAAAAUGGACCAGGCCAUCUUGCAUUUGCCCAAAAUGCCAGAUGGCCAGUCUGUCCCUGCUGUACACACAGACCGUAGUGUGGAAUGAUUAUAGUCACAGGACAUUUCUCCAACUUCUCUAAACCACCAUGGCAAAAUGAACAUGUAUAUCACAUCUAAAACUACAAAAAAAAACACUUGUUCUCUCCCCUCUGUAGCGAGGAAGGGCUCAUGGGACGAUGUUAGUUCAAAAUAUAUUCAUCAUUAUCAAUAUCCAAAUGGAUAAAAUGCUCAGUUAAUGUAAUAAAUCAAUGACAUUCUUAAGUUUACUGUGUUAAUUAUGACGGGCUGUGACUGAGUGCAUUACUCAGAGAAACGGAGGACACAAAGAGGAAAUAUAGAACACUGUUUGUACAUUCUGCUGUGGAAGAAAAAGAAAGCUGGAGUGUUCACACAGACACACGGGAGAGAAGAGAGAGAGUUCAGCCAGAAAUGAAAAGAGAGAAACCGGGGUCUCUACAAAGACCUACGGAGACCCUGUCUGUCUACAACACGAACCACAGCAGGAGGAGGAGAGGGGGAGCAUCCCUUCAUCAUUCGCCUCCCAGUAAGUAAAAAAGAAAAGCACACAUUACUCUGCCUUUAAGCUGUACAUAUUUACAACGAUAACCAAAUCCUUCAGGAAAACCUGACACGGCGAAAGAAAGAGAACGGAGUGGCUAGGGUCUAGGGUCUAGGGGCUAGGAUCUAGGGUCCAUGUCAGGGGCAGUUGGCUAGUAUAAUGUGUGAUACAGUUCAUAAUGAGUCGCUGAUCACAGAGAUAGAAGAAGCCUAUAAUGUAAAGAAAGCUUAAAGGCCUACAGUACGUAUGACAUCACCAUCCCCCGCAUGCUGUCCGUCCCAGACUUCUUCUCCUUUAUGACACUAGGAAGAGUUGAUUAACAGGGGGUUCUCAUGCAUACAGUGUUGGAGUUUUCUACAGUAAUUAAACAGCGUGCUUCAAAAUGGUAGAGAAAUCUGCCGAUAUGAUAGCUGUCCGCGCCCCUCAACAGAGAGGAGCACCAAUCAGAGGAGAGAGUUUACAUAGGGGCAGGGCUAGAGGGGGGUUGGGGGGAGAGGUGAGUAAGGUAAGGUGGGACAGUUUGAGGGAGGAGCUAGAAGAAUGUGGUGGAAGCUGGGGGAUGUUGGGGUGUUGGGAGUGGGGGAGACAUCCACAACGAGGCCUCUCCUCUCUGUCUGCACUGUUACCAUCACAACAGCUUUGCUUUUUCCUCACCAAUGAGUGAAGGGCUGAUCUCUGGUGGAUCUCCAACUAAUCUGAAAGGGAUCUUGUCUUGCCUCGUUCUGUCUUGGCUUGUCAGUGUAGGAAUGACAGAUGGCCCCUGUAGCGUCCCCUACAGAGCAGGUCAGGUCUGACGGACCUCGCACACACUCUCACACAUUCUCACACACUCUCACACCUUCCUCCU